Molecule: ribosomal RNA, 993 nt
Filed under: Fusarium keratoplasticum
Lineage: Eukaryota; Fungi; Ascomycota; Sordariomycetes; Hypocreales; Nectriaceae
Description: partial large subunit ribosomal RNA
Rfam family: Eukaryotic large subunit ribosomal RNA
Source: RNAcentral
GUAACGGCGAGUGAAGCGGCAACAGCUCAAAUUUGAAAUCUGGCUCUCGGGCCCGAGUUGUAAUUUGUAGAGGAUGCUUUUGGUGAGGUGCCUUCCGAGUUCCCUGGAACGGGACGCCAUAGAGGGUGAGAGCCCCGUCUGGUUGGACACCGAUCCUCUGUAAAGCUCCUUCGACGAGUCGAGUAGUUUGGGAAUGCUGCUCUAAAUGGGAGGUAUAUGUCUUCUAAAGCUAAAUACCGGCCAGAGACCGAUAGCGCACAAGUAGAGUGAUCGAAAGAUGAAAAGAACUUUGAAAAGAGAGUUAAACAGUACGUGAAAUUGUUGAAAGGGAAGCGCUUGUGACCAGACUUGGGCUUGGUUGAUCAUCCGGGGUUCUCCCCGGUGCACUCUUCCGGCCCAGGCCAGCAUCAGUUCGCCCUGGGGGACAAAGGCUUCGGGAAUGUGGCUCUCUCCGGGGAGUGUUAUAGCCCGUUGCGUAAUACCCUGUGGCGGACUGAGGUUCGCGCAUUCGCAAGGAUGCUGGCGUAAUGGUCAUCAGUGACCCGUCUUGAAACACGGACCAAGGAGUCGUCUUCGUAUGCGAGUGUUCGGGUGUCAAACCCCUACGCGAAAUGAAAGUGAACGCAGGUGAGAGCUUCGGCGCAUCAUCGACCGAUCCUGAUGUUAUCGGAUGGAUUUGAGUAAGAGCAUACGGGGCCGGACCCGAAAGAAGGUGAACUAUGCCUGUGUAGGGUGAAGCCAGAGGAAACUCUGGUGGAGGCUCGCAGCGGUUCUGACGUGCAAAUCGAUCGUCAAACAUGGGCAUGGGGGCGAAAGACUAAUCGAACCUUCUAGUAGCUGGUUUCCGCCGAAGUUUCCCUCAGGAUAGCAGUGUUGAACUCAGUUUUAUGAGGUAAAGCGAAUGAUUAGGGACUCGGGGGCGCUAUUUAGCCUUCAUCCAUUCUCAAACUUUAAAUAUGUAAGAAGCCCUUGUUGCUUAAUUGAACGUGGGCA